GCAUCUAGAAAACUACGACCUUAUUUUCAAUGUCAUCCUAUUGUUGUUGUUACUGCUUUUCAUUUAAGAAAUAUAUUGCAUAAACAUGAACUGUCAGGAAGAUUAGCAAAAUGGGCUAUAUAAUUAAGUGAGUACGAAAUAAUUUACCAACCUCUAACUGCUAUCAAAUCUCAAGUACUCGCUGAUUUCGUAGCUGAUUUUAGUCAAAGCAUACAUCUAGAAGCAGAAAAAGAAUUACAAAUUUUUAACGGAGCUAAUCCGGGGACUUGGCUAUUAUUUACCGACGGUUCAUCUAAUGUAAA
Molecule: long non-coding RNA, 302 nt
Filed under: Nicotiana benthamiana
Lineage: Eukaryota; Viridiplantae; Streptophyta; Magnoliopsida; Solanales; Solanaceae
Description: long non-coding RNA (NBEN_LNC020681)
Source: RNAcentral